Chrysemys picta bellii (western painted turtle) is the source of this 2082-nucleotide long non-coding RNA. RefSeq lists it as uncharacterized. Lineage: Eukaryota; Metazoa; Chordata; Testudines; Emydidae. The record is from RefSeq and is a predicted model, not a curated record.
CAUGUGAUCUAUCAAGUCAGCCGCCUAGUCCCAAACCAGAGAGAGAGUGUAGCAACAAAAGUAAGGUUUCUGCAGCCUUGAAAUUCCAUUACCACUUCACUAAGACCUAGCUGACUAACCAUCAAGGAGACUCAGGACUGUGGAACUGAAUUGAUUAUGGACCUAUACUUACAGCUCUCUAUUGCAUGGGUGACCAAAGGAGGCUAGGAAGAAAGGAAAAGUGCAAGAAGCCUUCACUCCACACUGGACCCAGGCAUUUACAAUCCUUAAGGAAUCUAGAACACAAGGACUGCUCCAUUCAGUGCUCUCAGGGGCAACCCCCCCCCAUCCCAAGUAGGAAAGGCUAGAGACCCUCCACUCCAUCAAAUACAGCACCGACCAGACACAGAGGGAGCAUGCGGCAUCCUUCUGAGAGGUAGUACAUGUUCUGGAAGGAUGAAUCCAACUGGAUGAAAAAUGAAAGGCAAAACAGAGCAUCUGAUAAAAGAUUCAAUCACUAAACAAAUUAGACAAGAGUGAUAUAAUUAAUGCAAAUCAACAUGGGUUUAUGAAAACCAGAUCUUGUCAAACUAAUGACUUUUAGUGAGACUACAGGUUUAGUUGAUAAAGAAAUCAAGACUCAGUUGUGUCAAGGUACUGAACAUACACAUCGUAAGAAACUGUCCUUGUCCUGAAGAGCUCACAAUCUAAAUAGACAAGACAACGGAUGGGACAAAGAUAGAUGGGGAACUGAAGUGCAGAGGAAUUAAGUGACUUGCCCAUGAUCACAGGUAAGUCUUCAAUAAUGUUGGGAACUGAACCCACAUCUCCCAGUUCCCCAUCCAGUGUUUUAACUACAGGCGCUUUUCUCUCUGAAAUGUCAAAGGACUAAACAGAAGAAUGCGUGUUGCAAAUGCCAAUUCACAUACGCUAAAAGUAGGACUGUGCUUGCAGACUACACCAGAAAUGUUAUUUAAAUAAGCUAUAUGUGCCAAGUAUCUGUUAUAGUCAGAGAAACACACUGUGCUGAAUCUGCUAACUGGAGAUUGUCCCAAUAUUUUGAGGGUGCUGAUUAAGGCCCCAAUACUGUCUCACAAGCAUAGAAGUGGGAUCAUUGUGGGAUAGGAUCCUAAGCAGAGUCUACUGAAGUGAGAUACAGAGUCCUGAAAUUGACACUGGCAGUUAUAAUUCACAGGAAUUACAUUGUUUUGUUUUUAAAGUCACUGAUGAAUUAACAAUGGUGGGCAACCUGCGACCCGCACUGCUUCCCGCAGCUCCCAUUGGCCAGGAACGCUGAACCGCCCAUCCCCGGCUGAGUAGAUGCUGUGCUGCAUCAUUGUUUAAAAACAGAUUAAAAUGUUUACUGUGUUAGAAAAUAAUUUUGUCAUUCAUACAUACAAUAAAUAGAUACACAUGUUUUCACUUACAUAAGUUUUUAAUUCACCGAAUAAAGAUGACAUUUCCUCCAGAAAAUAAUUGACUGUAGUUUUAAUGGGUGGUCUAAAUGACCACCAGUUAAACAGCUAGACCUAAUGAAGAAAUGUGCUGAAAGCUGAUACCUUUGUAACUAAAUAGUUACUGGAAAUAAACACAUAUGUGGUUUGUUGAUUGCAGUCAAAGAGGAAAGUUAACUCAGUUUUCCCCCCCCACUUGCUAUUCUAUUUACUGACUGGUGCCUAAUCACAAGAGAUCUUCAUAAAUCACGCUGCAUUGACCAGUAACAGAAACCCCAUGUCUGGGGCACAGUACUAUAGUGUUUUUAGACUGCCUGGAGCAUACUUACCAACAAGCAAUGUUGUGUGUCACCAUAUCUGUAUUUCAUAACAAGGUCCUUCCCGAAGAACAAGCACCCACCUCAAGUUAUGGAUCACCUCCAUUGUCAUUCCAUAGCAAUGUGUUUUACAGAUGUCUGUAAAUGAAUUCUAGGCUAUAAUUCCUUUUGCUUCUGAACCAUGAGGAAGUAUGACAUGCUGCCUGUCUGGUAUUUAUAUAUUAAAUUGCAUUUGAAGAGUGUUUAGAAGAGAAUUCCCUUGAAUUCUUUUCAAAGCUACAAAAAACUUUCUGACUACUGUAAAAAGCAACAGAGGGUCCUGUGGCACCUUU